UCAGGACGAACGCUGGCGGCACGCUUAACACAUGCAAGUCGAACGGAGUAUCGAGAGCUUGCUUUUGAUAACUUAGUGGCGGACGGGUGAGUAACACGUGAGCAAUCUGCCCUUAAGAGGGGGAUAGCAGUUGGAAACGACUGAUAAUACCGCAUAAGAUAGUAGUACCGCAUGGUACAGCUAUAAAAGAUUUAUCGCUUAAGGAUGAGCUCGCGUCUGAUUAGCUAGUUGGUGAGGUAACGGCUCACCAAGGCAACGAUCAGUAGCCGGACUGAGAGGUUGGACGGCCACAUUGGGACUGAGACACGGCCCAGACUCCUACGGGAGGCAGCAGUGGGGAAUAUUGCACAAUGGAGGAAACUCUGAUGCAGCGAUGCCGCGUGAGGGAAGAAGGUUUUAGGAUUGUAAACCUCUGUUGACAGGGACGAUAAUGACGGUACCUGUUGAGGAAGCUCCGGCUAACUACGUGCCAGCCGCAGC
Molecule: ribosomal RNA, 480 nt
Filed under: uncultured bacterium
Lineage: Bacteria
Description: bacterial SSU rRNA
Rfam family: Bacterial small subunit ribosomal RNA
Source: RNAcentral